AACCGGGAUUAGAUACCCUGGUAGUCCAUGCCGUAAACGUUGGGCACUAGGUGUGGGGGACAUUCCACGUUUUCCGCGCCGUAGCUAACGCAUUAAGUGCCCCGCCUGGGGUGUACGGCCGCAAGGCUAAAACUCAAAGGAAUUGACGGGGGCCCGCACAAGCGGCGGAGCAUGCGGAUUAAUUCGAUGCAACGCGAAGAACCUUACCAAGGCUUGACAUAUACCGGAUCGUUCCAGAGAUGGUUCUUCCCCUUUGGGGUCGGUAUACAGGUGGUGCAUGGUUGUCGUCAGCUCGUGUCGUGAGAUGUUGGGUUAAGUCCCGCAACGAGCGCAACCCUCGUUCCAUGUUGCCUGCACGUGAUGGUGGGGACUCAUGGGAGACUGCCGGGGUCAACUCGGAGGAAGGUGGGGAUGACGUCAAAUCAUCAUGCCCCUUAUGUCUUGGGCUUCACGCAUGCUACAAUGGCCGGUACAAAGGGUUGCGAUACUGUGAGGUGGAGCUAAUCCCAAAAAGCCGGUCUCAGUUCGGAUUGAGGUCUGCAACUCGACCUCAUGAAGUCGGAGUCGCUAGUAAUCGCAGAUCAGCGACGCUGCGGUGAAUACGUUCCCGGGCCUUGUACACACCGCCCGUCAAGUCACGAAAGUCGGUAACACCCGAAGCCGGUGGCCCAACCCUUGUGGAGGGAGCCGUCGAAGGUGGGACUGGCGAUUGGGACUAAGUCGUAACAAGGUAGCCGUAAAU
This 742-nucleotide ribosomal RNA is filed under the name uncultured endophytic bacterium. RNAcentral's name for it is "bacterial SSU rRNA". It matches the Rfam family "Bacterial small subunit ribosomal RNA", at positions 770 to 1507 of the family's 1533-position model. The record is from RNAcentral.